Molecule: microRNA, 19 nt
Filed under: Triticum aestivum (bread wheat)
Lineage: Eukaryota; Viridiplantae; Streptophyta; Magnoliopsida; Poales; Poaceae
Description: tae-miR10521
Source: miRBase by way of RNAcentral
UUCGUUUUUUAUAGGAUGG